This 492-nucleotide ribosomal RNA is filed under the name uncultured bacterium. Its description in RNAcentral is "partial 16S ribosomal RNA". It matches the Rfam family "Bacterial small subunit ribosomal RNA", at positions 29 to 507 of the family's 1533-position model. The record is from RNAcentral.
AGUGAACGCUGGCGGUAGGCCUAACACAUGCAAGUCGAACGGCAGCACAGUAAGAGCUUGCUCUUACGGGUGGCGAGUGGCGUACGGGUGAGGAAUACAUCGGAAUCUACUUUUUCGUGGGGGAUAACGUAGGGAAACUUACGCUAAUACCGCAUACGACCUACGGGUGAAAGCAGGGGAUCUUCGGACCUUGCGCGAUUGAAUGAGCCGAUGUCGGAUUAGCUAGUUGGCGGGGUAAAGGCCCACCAAGGCGACGAUCCGUAGCUGGUCUGAGAGGAUGGUCAGCCACAUGGUAACUGAGACACGGUCCAGACUCCUACGGGAGGCAGCAGUCGGGAAUAUUGGACAAUGGGGGCAAGCCUGAUCCAGCCAUACCGCGUGGGUGGAGAAGGCCUUCGGGUUGUAAAGCCCUUUUGUUGGGAAAGAAAAGCAGCAGCUUAAUACCCCGCUGUUCUGACGGUACCCAAAGAAUAAGCACCGGCUAACUUCGUG